AUUGAACGCUGGCGGCAUGCCUUACACAUGCAAGUCGAACGGCAGCACGGGAGCAAUCCUGGUGGCGAGUGGCGAACGGGUGAGUAAUAUAUCGGAACGUGCCCAGUAGUGGGGGAUAGCCCGGCGAAAGCCGGAUUAAUACCGCAUACGACCUGUGGGUGAAAGCGGGGGAUCGCAAGACCUCGGGCUAUUGGAGCGGCCGAUAUCAGAUUAGCUUGUUGGUGGGGUAAAAGCCCACCAAGGCGACGAUCUGUAGCUGGUCUGAGAGGACGACCAGCCACACUGGGGCUGAGACACGGCCCAGACUCCUACGGGAGGCAGCAGUGGGGAAUUUUGGACAAUGGGCGCAAGCCUGAUCCAGCCAUGCCGCGUGUGGGAAGAAGGCCUUCGGGUUGUAACCGAACUUUUGUCUAGGGAAGAAACGGUACGUGAGUCUAAUACAUUGGCGUAAUGACGGUACCUGUAAGAAUAAGACACCGGCUAACUACGUAG
This 492-nucleotide ribosomal RNA is filed under the name uncultured bacterium. RNAcentral's name for it is "bacterial SSU rRNA". It matches the Rfam family "Bacterial small subunit ribosomal RNA", at positions 30 to 508 of the family's 1533-position model. The record is from RNAcentral.